AGAAUGAACGUUGGCGGCGUGGAUUAGGCAUGCAAGUCGGACGGGCCGCAAGGCCAGUGGCGCAAGGGUGAGUAAGGCGAAGGUAACCAACCCCGCGGAUGGGCAUAGCCGAGGGAAACCUCGGGUAAUUCCCGGCGACGUGACGACCCGGCAUCGGGAUGUCACCAAAGAUUCAUCGCCUCGGGACGGGCCUUCGUGGUAUUAGCUUGUUGGCGGGUGACGGCCCAC
This 228-nucleotide ribosomal RNA is filed under the name uncultured soil bacterium. Its description in RNAcentral is "partial 16S ribosomal RNA". It matches the Rfam family "Bacterial small subunit ribosomal RNA", at positions 26 to 268 of the family's 1533-position model. The record is from RNAcentral.